CUGGGUCCUGAGGUAGAGGAUGGUGGAUAUGUAGGCAUUGGCUGGAAACAGAUGAAGAGAGCAGAAUUACUACAUCAUGUAAACUGGUUAAUAAGUCACGUACUGGAAAAGGUCUGUUUGUGUUGUAUAGCCCACUCCCAUGACCAGGCUAGAUCUGUGUUGUAUAGUCCACUCCCAUGACCAGGCUAGGUCUGUUUGUGUUGUAUAGCCCACUCCCAUGACCAGGCUAGAUCUGUGUUGUAUAGCCCACUCCCAUGACCAGGCUAGGUCUGUUUGUGUUGUAUAGCCCACUCCCAUGACCAGGCUAGAUCUGUGUUGUAUAGCCCACUCCCAUGACCAGGCUAGAUCUGUUUGUGUAGCCCACUCCCAUGACCAGGCUAGAUCUGUGUUGUGUAGACCACUCCCAUGACCAGGCUAGAUCUGUUUGUGUUGUAUAGCCCACUCCCAUGACCAGGCUAGAUCUGUGUUGUAUAGCCCACUCCCAUGACCAGGCUAGAUCUGUGUUGUAUAGUCCACUCCCAUGACCAGGCUAGAUCUGUGUUGUAUAGUCCACUCCCAUGACCAGGCUAGAUCUGUGUUGUAUAGCCCACUCCCAUGACCAGGCUAGAUCUGUGUUGUAUAGCCCACUCCCAUGACCAGGCUAGAUCUGUUUGUGUUGUAUAGUCCACUCCCAUGACCAGGCUAGAUCUGUGUUGUAUAGCCCACUCCCAUGACCAGGCUAGAUCUGUGUUGUAUAGCCCACUCCCAUGACCA
Long non-coding RNA from Oncorhynchus keta (chum salmon), 753 nucleotides. RefSeq lists it as uncharacterized. NCBI's taxonomy places the organism in Eukaryota, Metazoa, Chordata, Actinopteri, Salmoniformes, Salmonidae. The transcript has 3 exons. The record is from RefSeq and is a predicted model, not a curated record.